This 340-nucleotide long non-coding RNA is filed under the name Elaeis guineensis (African oil palm). Its description in RNAcentral is "long non-coding RNA (EGUI_LNC007594)". Lineage: Eukaryota; Viridiplantae; Streptophyta; Magnoliopsida; Arecales; Arecaceae. The record is from RNAcentral.
CAUCCGAGUUUCUACGACGGUCGACCGCCUUCAAGAUUCUUACCGGGCUCCUGUGAGAGCCAAACUUCUACUACGAGCGAUCUACUCCAAACUACUAUAGCGAGCGGUCUGCUCCGAACUCCUACAGCGAGCGGUCUGCUCUGAACUUUCACUACGAGCGGUAUACUCCAAACUCCUACCGUGGGCGGUCUACUUUGGAUCUUUACUGUAAGCAAAUUUCAUUCGAGCUCCUAUUGUAAACACAUUUCUUUCGAACUUCCAUUACAGGUAGACUUCAGCCGAGCUUCUUCGUAGCCGGAUCCCAGACGAGCUUCUACAGCGGGACAGGACCCACCGGCCA